AGAGUUUCAUUCUGGCUCAGGAUGAACGCUGGCGGCGUGCUUAACACAUGCAAGUCGAACGAAGCACUUUAUUUGAUUUCCUUCGGGACUGAUUAUUUUGUGACUGAGUGGCGGACGGGUGAGUAACGCGUGGGUAACCUGCCUUGUACAGGGGGAUAACAGUUGGAAACGGCUGCUAAUACCGCAUAAGCGCACAGCAUCGCAUGAUGCAGUGUGAAAAACUCCGGUGGUAUAAGAUGGACCCGCGUUGGAUUAGCUAGUUGGUGAGGUAACGGCCCACCAAGGCGACGAUCCAUAGCCGACCUGAGAGGGUGACCGGCCACAUUGGGACUGAGACACGGCCCAAACUCCUACGGGAGGCAGCAGUGGGGAAUAUUGCACAAUGGGCGAAAGCCUGAUGCAGCGACGCCGCGUGAGCGAAGAAGUAUUUCGGUAUGUAAAGCUCUAUCAGCAGGGAAGAUAAUGACGGUACCUGACUAAGAAGCACCGGCUAAAUACGUGCCAGCAGCCGCGGUAAUACGUAUGGUGCAAGCGUUAUCCGGAUUUACUGGGUGUAAAGGGAGCGCAGGCGGUGCGGCAAGUCUGAUGUGAAAGCCCGGGGCUCAACCCCGGUACUGCAUUGGAAACUGUCGUACUAGAGUGUCGGAGGGGUAAGCGGAAUUCCUAGUGUAGCGGUGAAAUGCGUAGAUAUUAGGAGGAACACCAGUGGCGAAGGCGGCUUACUGGACGAUAACUGACGCUGAGGCUCGAAAGCGUGGGGAGCAAACAGGAUUAGAUACCCUGGUAGUCCACGCCGUAAACGAUGAAUACGAGGUGUUGGGAAGCAAUGCCUUUUCGGUGCCGUCGCAAACGCAGUAAGUAUUCCACCUGGCGAGUACGUUCGCAAGAAUGAAAUCCAAGGGAAUAGACGGGGACCCGCACAAGCGGUGGAGCAUGUGGUUAAUUUCGAAGCAACGCGAAGAACCUUACCAAGUCUUGACAUCCUUCUGACCGGUACUUAACCGUACCUUCUCUUCGGAGCAGGAGUGACAGGUGGUGCAUGGUUGUCGUCAGCUCGUGUCGUGAGAUGUUGGGUUAAGUCCCGCAACGAGCGCAACCCUUAUCUUUAGUAGCCAGCGGUCUGGCCGGGCACUCUAGAGAGACUGCCAGGGAUAACCUGGAGGAAGGCGGGGAGGACGUCAAAUCAUCAUGCCCCCUAUGACUUGGGCUACACACGUGCUACAAUGGCGUAAACAAAGGGAAGCAAAGCUGUGAAGCCGAGCAAAUCUCAAAAAUAACGUCUCAGUUCGGACUGUAGUCUGCAACCCGACUACACGAAGCUGGAAUCGCUAGUAAUCGCAGAUCAGAAUGCUGCGG
RNAcentral lists this ribosomal RNA (1356 nucleotides) under uncultured bacterium. RNAcentral's name for it is "bacterial SSU rRNA". It matches the Rfam family "Bacterial small subunit ribosomal RNA", at positions 8 to 1362 of the family's 1533-position model. The record is from RNAcentral.